RNAcentral lists this ribosomal RNA (234 nucleotides) under Triticum aestivum (bread wheat). RNAcentral's name for it is "partial small subunit ribosomal RNA". Lineage: Eukaryota; Viridiplantae; Streptophyta; Magnoliopsida; Poales; Poaceae. The record is from RNAcentral.
AUGGCAAAGUGCCUCGCUGUCGCGCUACUGCUACUGGUGGUGCUCGCGCACUGCGACGGGAGGGAGCUGAAUGAGAAGGACCGCGCACUUGCAGCGAUACGCGGUGCCGGUGCUGGCGUCGGCGAGUCGAAGAUUUUGGGGCUGCCAGACUUGCCGGUUGUGGGAACCACUACCGGUACCAGUACCAUUAACGGCCCGCUGGUGGUGAUUCCGGGGAUCCCUGCUCACCCAUGA